GUCCACGCCCUAAACGAUGUCAACUAGUUGUUGGUGGAGUAAAAUCCAUGAGUAACGUAGCUAACGCGUGAAGUUGACCGCCUGGGGAGUACGGACGCAAGUUUAAAACUCAAAUGAAUUGACGGGGGCCCGCACAAGCGGUGGAUUAUGUGGAUUAAUUCGAUGCAACGCGAAAAACCUUACCUGGCCUUGACAUGUACGGAACUUUCCAGAGAUGGAUUGGUGCCUUCGGGAACCGUAACACAGGUGCUGCAUGGCU
RNAcentral lists this ribosomal RNA (259 nucleotides) under uncultured bacterium. RNAcentral's name for it is "partial 16S ribosomal RNA". It matches the Rfam family "Bacterial small subunit ribosomal RNA", at positions 793 to 1050 of the family's 1533-position model. The record is from RNAcentral.